This is a long non-coding RNA of Drosophila willistoni, 1332 nucleotides long. RefSeq lists it as uncharacterized. The transcript is spliced from 6 exons. NCBI's taxonomy places the organism in Eukaryota, Metazoa, Arthropoda, Insecta, Diptera, Drosophilidae. The record is from RefSeq and is a predicted model, not a curated record.
AAACUCAAAAAAAUCGGAAAAAAAAGGUAUUUAAUUUAAUCUGCUUUGGCGUGCAUAUUUUGGAAAACCAUAGAGGCGAAUUUUAGGAGCCGUUAUUAAACACUAAUACAGACCAAUGUACCAGGUACGCCUGUACUGACACAGAAAUCGUGGCGAAUACAAACUCUUUGACUUGUCUGUCUCUGGUUCUACCUACACACGUGAACACUUACCAAGUCUUGCGGGACGAAUAAUAAUGGAUGUUAAUUAUAAUAUUUCUAAAUACUGAACCAUGGACGAUCAUCACAUCCUGAACACGAAUCUACACAAAACUCUCAUCCACAAACACGUUAAAGAUACACAGGAAGCGCGUAGUAGGUUCGAUACACAAAUAUAUACGAUACAUUUGAUGUAUUCAUCAUGCUGAUACAAGUUGGUGCGUAACACUUAUACACGUUAAAAAUACACAGGCCAAGUGUGUAGUUCUAUACCGAAACUGAUGAAAUAUACUGAUGCAAAGUGGUGCAAAACAAAUCUAAAUACUGAGCAAUGGACGAUCAUCACAUCCUGAACACGAUUCUACACAAGACUCUCAUCCACAAACACGUUAAAGAUACACAGGAAGCGCGUAGUAGGUUCGAUACACAAAUAUAUACGAUACAUUUGAUGUUUUAACAUGCUGAUACAAGUUGGUGCAUAACACUUAUACACGUUGAAAAUACACAGGCCAAGUGUGUAAUUCUAUACCGAAACUGAUGAAAUAUACUGAUGCAAAGUGGUGCAAAACAAAUCUAAAUACUGAACAAUGGACGAUCAUCACAUCCUGAACACGAUUCUACACAAGACUCUCAUCCACAAACACGUUAAAGAUACACAGGAAGCGCGUAGUAGGUUCGAUACACAAAUAUAUACGAUACAUUUGAUGUUUUAUCAUGCUGAUACAAGUUGGUGCAUAACACUUAUACACGUUGAAAAUACACAGGCCAAGUGUGUAAUGCUAUACCGAAACUGAUGAAAUAUACUGAUGCAAAGUGGUGCAAAAAAAAUCGGAAACCGAAAUACAUAAGAGACAUUUGAUGUAUUCAUCAUGCUGAUACAAAUUGGAGCAGAGCACUUAUACACGUUGGAAAUACACAGAAGGCAAAAGAAGAUGUAUUCAUCAUGCUGAUACAAGUUGGUGCGUAACACUUAAAUCGAUGAAUAUAAAGACUUUUGAGAUACACUGGGCGAAAUACACACGAAGAUUGACGAUUCAUUCAAAUGAGACGCAGAGACAUUUGAAGUAUACAUCAUUCUGAUUCGAAUUGGCGCAUUUGUAACUGAACUGAAUAAAUAAAUAUAUUUUGAUACUAA